AACAAGGUUUGCGUAGGUGAACCUGCGGAAGGAUCAUUGUCGUUUGCUCGGAAAAACGCGACCCUGUGCACGUAACCUAAUCCAUCGCUGCCGGGGCGGCGACGUCCCGGCCCACCGGCCGCGGUCCCCUCGGGGGCCGCGAGCCGGGAAUACGGCGCGGUCCGCGCCAAGGAACACGAGACGCUGAGGCGGCAGGCGGAGCGCUCCGCGCGCCGUCCGUCGCCGACGCAAAGGAAAACAUUAUGACUCUCGGCAACGGAUAUCUCGGCUCUCGCAUCGAUGAAGAACGUAGCGAAAUGCGAUACGUGGUGUGAAUUGCAGAAUCCCGCGAACCAUCGAGUCUUUGAACGCAAGUUGCGCCCGAGGGAUCCGCCCGAGGGCACGCCUGCCUGGGCGUUAGAAGCCAUCCACGCUCGGUGCUAGCUCAGCUCCGAUGCGGACCGUGGCCCUCCGAGCCGAGACGGCGCGGUGGGCCUAAGUGCGCGGCCGCCGGGAGGAGCCGGGAGCGGCGAGUGGUGGAACGCUGCGUCCGCCGCCCCGCGCUCCCUGCCGGCACGUGGCCUUGACCGACCCUCGGACGAGCGGUCGCGCCUUCGCGGCGCGGCGCCUUCGGACCGAUACCCCAGGUCAGGCGGGGCUACCCGCCCCAAAGAAAAACCCCA
Molecule: ribosomal RNA, 662 nt
Filed under: Schoenus sublaxus
Lineage: Eukaryota; Viridiplantae; Streptophyta; Magnoliopsida; Poales; Cyperaceae
Description: eukaryotic LSU rRNA
Rfam family: 5.8S ribosomal RNA (bases 245-399)
Source: RNAcentral